AGAGGAAGUCUGUACAGACACUAAUUCAUCCACCAAACAAUCAAUUAGAUGACCGAAGGCAGUUGAGGAUGGCCCUCGAUACUGCCCGAGGAAUGAACUAUUUGCACAACUGCACUCCAGUGAUUGUACACCGUGAUUUGAAGUCACCAAAU
Arachis ipaensis is the source of this 152-nucleotide non-coding RNA. The record is from RefSeq and is a predicted model, not a curated record. NCBI's taxonomy places the organism in Eukaryota, Viridiplantae, Streptophyta, Magnoliopsida, Fabales, Fabaceae.